Molecule: long non-coding RNA, 572 nt
Organism: Hippocampus zosterae (dwarf seahorse)
Lineage: Eukaryota; Metazoa; Chordata; Actinopteri; Syngnathiformes; Syngnathidae
Exons: 2
Source: RefSeq, a predicted model, not a curated record
CCAACACUGUGGUGCACUCGUCUGCAGUCAUCAGAUGGAAAAUAAAACAAACAAACAAGCUUGGUUACUGUAAUGGCCUUUACCCUGCCGUCGAAAGUCUUUCAUUUAGUGAAUACUGUACAUCUAAUCAUAGUUGUGCUGAUAAGUUUGCAUACCCUAGCAGAAUAUGUCAAUUAUUGACAAUUUUUCGGAGGAUAUGACUGAUGACUGAAUAGGGACCUUAGAGUUUUCUUCAUUACUAUCCUUCCGAGAAUAGCAGCAUAACAUGAGUAAUCGAUGCCAUGCCUGAAAAUCUUAUUAUAACUGCCUAAAUGCCCUGAAAGUAAGUGUGUGUGUGUGUGUGUGUGUGUGUGCGUGUGUCCAAGACUCGUAACUUCCACUAACAAUCCAGACUAAACUUAGCUAUACUCCCCAACAUAGACACGGAUCUUAGCCUAGGUGUAUCCCUUCAACUGUACUUCCUUGACACCAGUUACUACUUUCCUACUAGCCAGGAGUUUGGCACCAUCUUGUGGCACCUGAAAGAAACAGUACCAAAUAUAUGAAUAACUUACGAUAGGUGUCUGGGGGGG